ACACGGACCAAGGAGUGCAACAUGCGUGCGAGUCCCGGGGUGGCAAACCCGUCGGCGCAAUGAAAGUGAAGGCAGCGCUUUAGGCCUGCUGUGGCGAGAGCCCGUCAGGGCGCAUCGUCGACCGAUCCCUGCGCCACGCUGUGGUGGGAUUUGAGUGAGAGCGUGCCUGUUGCGACCCGAAAGAUGGUGAACUAUGCCUGAAUAGGGUGAAGCCAGGGGAAACGCUGGUGGAAGCUCGCAGCGAUUCUGACGUGCAAAUCGAUCGUCAAAUUUGGGUAUAGGGGCGAAAGACUAAUCGAACCGUCUAGUAGCUGGUUCCCUCCGAAGUUUCCCUCAGGAUAGCUGGAGCCCGGUGCAGUUUUAUCAGGUAAAGCGAAUGAUUAGAGGUCUCGGGGCUGAAACGGCCUCGACCUAUUCUCAAACUUUAAAUGGGUAAGAAGCCCGGCUUGCUCGGUUGAAGUCGGGCGGUGAAUGCCGGGGCUCCCAGUGGGCCAUUUUUGGUAAGCAGAACUGGCGAUGUGGGAUGAACCGAAAGCCGGGUUAAGGUGCCGGAAUCGACGCUCAUGAGAUCCCAUGAAAGGUGUUGGUUGAUACAGACAGCAGGACGGUGGCCAUGGAAGUCGGAACCCGCUAAGGAGUGUGUAACAACUCACU
This 654-nucleotide ribosomal RNA is filed under the name Phorbas sp. NW-2019. RNAcentral describes it as "partial large subunit ribosomal RNA". It matches the Rfam family "Eukaryotic large subunit ribosomal RNA", at positions 659 to 1294 of the family's 3401-position model. Lineage: Eukaryota; Metazoa; Porifera; Demospongiae; Poecilosclerida; Hymedesmiidae. The record is from RNAcentral.